This 257-nucleotide long non-coding RNA is filed under the name Mytilus galloprovincialis (Mediterranean mussel). Lineage: Eukaryota; Metazoa; Mollusca; Bivalvia; Mytilida; Mytilidae. The record is from RNAcentral.
GAAAACUACUGUUAAUCACAAUUUUUCUUUUGCAAUACAUUAAAUACCACUGCAAUAAAUAGGAAUCAGUAUAUACAUUAAAGAUGUAAUUGUUCGAUAAAUUACUAGAGCCUUAUAAUCGUAUUGGACGUUGUUGUGUAUUUAUACAUUCUAAAUAGCUAAUCUCCUAUGGGUAAGAGUAGUUGUUUGAGAACACUACAUUCCAUUACACGGCUGCAGUCACCAGUGUCUGAGCAGAAAGUUUAUGAACUAGGGGU